Molecule: ribosomal RNA, 164 nt
Filed under: uncultured bacterium
Lineage: Bacteria
Description: partial 16S ribosomal RNA
Rfam family: Bacterial small subunit ribosomal RNA
Source: RNAcentral
UAGGGAAUCUUCCACAAUGGACGAAAGUCUGAUGGAGCAACGCCGCGUGUGUGAUGAAGGCUUUCGGGUCGUAAAGCACUGUUGUAUGGGAAGAACAGCUAGAAUAGGAAAUGAUUUUAGUUUGACGGUACCAUACCAGAAAGGGACGGCUAAAUACGUGCCAG